AGUGAACGCUGGCGGUAGGCCUAACACAUGCAAGUCGAACGGCAGCACAGGAGAGCUUGCUCUCUGGGUGGCGAGUGGCGGACGGGUGAGGAAUACAUCGGAAUCUACUUUUUCGUGGGGGAUAACGUAGGGAAACUUACGCUAAUACCGCAUACGACCUACGGGUGAAAGCAGGGGACCUUCGGGCCUUGCGCGAUUGAAUGAGCCGAUGUCGGAUUAGCUAGUUGGCGGGGUAAAGGCCCACCAAGGCGACGAUCCGUAGCUGGUCUGAAAGGAUGAUCAGCCACACUGGAACUGAGAAACGGUCCAGACUCCUACGGGAGGCAGCAGUGGGGAAUAUUGGACAAUGGGCGCAAGCCUGAUCCAGCCAUACCGCGUGGGUGAAGAAGGCCUUCGGGUUGUAAGGCCCUUUUGUUGGGAAAGAAAUCCAGCUGGCUAAUACCCGGUUGGGAUGACGGUACCCAAAGAAUAAGCACCGGCUAACUUCGUGCCAGCAGCCGCCGUAA
RNAcentral lists this ribosomal RNA (506 nucleotides) under uncultured bacterium. RNAcentral's name for it is "partial 16S ribosomal RNA". It matches the Rfam family "Bacterial small subunit ribosomal RNA", at positions 29 to 523 of the family's 1533-position model. The record is from RNAcentral.